GUAGAGAACUAAUAGUCCUGUUGAAGAGAAUAGGACGAAGACAAAAUUUUAUGCUUCUUGCACCAAUGCAGUUGUGAAUCUUCCUCUUGAAAGUGCCAGCCCUUCUAAUGAAUCCUGCUAGUGAAUGAUUCAGAAAGAUAAGUCCCUUAAAAUGAAAAAAAUUAGGACAAAAACAAAAAGGAGAAUACAAGAUAAUAUAAAUCUUAAGGCUGUGAAGAUGAUACUCUAUAGAGCCAAUGAUCUGUGUGUGACUACUCUUCAUAGAUGUAGCAGGGACAAUAGCCGGCUCCCCAUAGCUGUCCCCUUGUCAUCAUUUGCUGUAUUCUUAAAGGGCACACAAUCUAAAGCUAUUGUGGAAGAUGCCUCUUAUCCAUCUUUGCGGGUGGACGUAUGAGUUUUACCUUCCUACCUAGUGUAGCUAGGCGAGUUGCUGGUGGCUCCUCUGGGCUUAUUUUCUUGCACUUCCAGCCACAUGGCCUGCUGUUCGUGCUGGCCUCCUCUUGCAGCUCCACUUGGACAGUGCUAUAAUUAGCAACAAAAAGGGGGGCUGUGACAACUAUUCAGUGGGGAUCAAUGAUUGCUCUUGGUUGCAAAUGUCAAGCUCACUAAACAGAGAGAGAUUUAUUACAGAAUAUUGAAUUGCUCACAAAUUGUUGGGAAGGAAAUGGAUCCAAGCAAAACCUCUACAAAUAAUCCAAGAAUCAAACUGCAGACACAACUUGUAUAGAGCCUCGUCUCACUACAACCUCCGAGGAACUUGGGCACUGCCACUAGGAUAUGGGAGAUCUGGCCUCUUGAUCUGCAAACUUCUCACUGCUGUUUAUGACCACUGCUUAGUCUCAAGCAGAAUCACCCAGCUCCAUGGUUGCUGGGCUAUUUCUGGCCCAGGCCACCCUGAGUAUUUCCAUCAUAAAUGUGCAUCUCCCCACACUUGAACUCUGACUCCUUAAAACAUCAUAAGCCAUGUGCUACCAUCUCAUGUAAUGCAAAUGUUUCCUUUAUAAAUACCAGCAUAUUCACCUUUACCCAAAAAAUGGGGGAACCCAAAUCCCUUCGAUUUAUCUCCCCUCCUGGGAGUUCAUGAUCUUCCCCGAAGAGUCACAAACCCAUCUAGAUAUCAUUUAAACCACUGUCAAAAUUACAAAGAUGAAAGUGUUUUCUUUACAUAUUUUGUUAAAAAAUGAAAUUCAGUCCAGUAAGUUUGAAGAUCUAAGUGAUUUUGUUAAAUGACCCAUGAAUCUGGCAACAUCUCCCCUAGCAAGUAGAAGGGAGCUCCAUUGAGCUGCAGAAGAGGAAAUAUUUUGAAAGGCAGAAAGGGAGCAGAAAAAAAAGAAAAUUGUUAGCAAAGAACAUGUUGUUUUAGGGACAUCACCCUCCUAAAGGGAAUGGAAGGG
Molecule: long non-coding RNA, 1394 nt
Organism: Vulpes vulpes (red fox)
Lineage: Eukaryota; Metazoa; Chordata; Mammalia; Carnivora; Canidae
Source: Ensembl